GAUGAACGCUGGCGGCGUGCCUAAUACAUGCAAGUCGAGCGAACAGACGAGGAGCUUGCUCCUCUGACGUUAGCGGCGGACGGGUGAGUAACACGUGGAUAACCUACCUAUAAGACUGGGAUAACUUCGGGAAACCGGAGCUAAUACCGGAUAAUAUAUUGAACCGCAUGGUUCAAUAGUGAAAGACGGUUUUGCUGUCACUUAUAGAUGGAUCCGCGCCGCAUUAGCUAGUUGGUAAGGUAACGGCUUACCAAGGCAACGAUGCGUAGCCGACCUGAGAGGGUGAUAGGCCACAAUGGAACUGAGACACGGUCCAGACUCCUACGGGAGGCAGCAGUAGGGAAUCUUCCGCAAUGGGCGAAAGCCUGACGGAGCAACGCCGCGUGAGUGAUGAAGGUCUUCGGAUCGUAAAACUCUGUUAUUAGGGAAGAACAAAUGUGUAAGUAACUAUGCACGUCUUGACGGUACCUAAUCAGAAAGCCACGGCUAACUACGUG
RNAcentral lists this ribosomal RNA (497 nucleotides) under uncultured bacterium. RNAcentral describes it as "partial 16S ribosomal RNA". It matches the Rfam family "Bacterial small subunit ribosomal RNA", at positions 28 to 507 of the family's 1533-position model. The record is from RNAcentral.